This 496-nucleotide ribosomal RNA is filed under the name uncultured bacterium. RNAcentral's name for it is "bacterial SSU rRNA". It matches the Rfam family "Bacterial small subunit ribosomal RNA", at positions 1 to 507 of the family's 1533-position model. The record is from RNAcentral.
AUAUCGACGUAGUUUGAUCAGUGGCUCAGAAUCAACGCUGGCGGCGUGCCUCAGACAUGCAAGUCGAACGAUUAAAGCUCUCUUCGGAGAGUGCAUAGAGUGGCGCACGGGUGAGUAACACGUAAGUAAUCUACCUUCGAGUGGGGAAUAACGUCCGGAAACGGGCGCUAAUACCGCAUAAUGCAGCGGCAUCGCAAGAUGACAGUUGUUAAAGGAGCAAUCCGCUUGAAGAGGAGCUUGCGGCAGAUUAGCUAGUUGGUAGGGUAAUGGCCUACCAAGGCUACGAUCUGUAACCGGUCUUAGAGGACGGUCGGUCACACUGACACUGAAUAACGGGUCAGACUCCUACGGGAGGCAGCAGUCGGGAAUUUUGGGCAAUGGGGGAAACCCUGACCCAGCAACGCCGCGUGAAGGAUGAAGUAUUUCGGUAUGUAAACUUCGAAAGAAUAGGAAGAAUUAAUGACGGUACUAUUUAUAAGGUCCGGCUAACUACGUG